This 221-nucleotide long non-coding RNA is filed under the name Setaria viridis. RNAcentral describes it as "long non-coding RNA (SVIR_LNC006617)". The record is from RNAcentral. Lineage: Eukaryota; Viridiplantae; Streptophyta; Magnoliopsida; Poales; Poaceae.
UGAACUUGGAACUGGAUAAAUAAAAACGCUAAAAAUUGGAUCCGAAUACAUCCAUAUUAAAAAUGAAUACGAAUACGGAUAUCCAUAUUGCAAAUAUCGAUAAUAGGAUUUCAAGACAUCCAUGUACAUCUCUACCGUUAAUUAUAAACCUUUACUUAUGCACAGUAUGCAGUGGUAGAGGCAAUGGCUAGUUCUAGGUUCAUGCCUACAUUUACUCCUAG